ACCCGUAUAUCCAAAUCCAAAUACAACUGAGAUCGGAAGCACCUGAAACGACCGAGAAGCAAGGCAGAGGAGAUGAUGAGGGUCCUCCUCUGCAACUGCUCUGCUUCACUACCACUCCCAACAGUUACUCCCAGCAAACCCCAAACUCUCUUCACCACUACCACUACCACUACCACUUCCACGACUCUCAAUUGGCCUCAGAAAACCCUAAUCAGUGCCCUAACUGGCGCUCUCUCCUUGGGCCUAGCCGUCUCUCCCCUUUCUUCUCUCGCACUCCCUUCACCCCUCAAUCAACCCCAAAAUCACUCAACAGAAUACUGUCGACAAGAGGAGAGGGAAGACAGCUUCGACGCGGCUCCCGAAUCCAUUACGGACGAAGGGAUUGUGGAGGAAGCUUGGGAGAUCGUCAAUGAUAGCUUUCUCGACACUGGUCGCCACCGGUGGUCCCCCGACACCUGGCUUCGAAAGAAAGAAGAUAUCUUAGCCACUUCCAUUCAGACGAGAUCAAAAGCUCAUGACAUGAUCCGACGGAUGUUGGCUAGCUUGGGUGACCCCUAUACAAGAUUUCUUUCUCCCGCUGAGUUCUCCAAGAUGGGAAGGUAUGACAUGACUGGGAUUGGAAUAAACCUUAGGGAAGUUCCCGACGAGAAUGGAGCUGUGAAACUGAAGGUAUUAGGACUCAUUUUGGAUGGACCUGCCCAUACUGCUGGUGUGAGACAGGGAGAUGAAGUCUUAGCAGUUAAUGGGGUGGAUGUGAAGGGAAAGUCUGCUUUUGAAGUAUCGUCUCUGUUACAAGGCCCUAAUGAAACUUUUGUGACUGUUCAGGUCAAGCACGGAAACUGUGGACCUGUGCAAUCUAUUGAAGUUCAGAGACAACUUGUUGCUCGCACCCCGGUUCUCUAUCGAUUAGAACAAAUAGAGAAUGGUGCAACUUUUGUUGGUUAUGUGCGCCUAAAGGAGUUCAAUGCAUUAGCAAGAAAAGAUUUGUUUACAGCAAUGAAGCGACUCCAGGACUUGGGUGCCUCUUCUUUUAUUCUUGAUCUUAGAGAUAACCGUGGUGGACUAGUUCAGGCUGGAAUUGAAAUUGCUAAGCUCUUUCUAAACGAGGGGGAGACGGUCAUUCAAACUGUUGGACGGGAUGCCCAGUAUCAGACAAACAUUAUUGCCGAAACUGCACCUUUAGUUACAGCUCCUGUUAUUGAUCUUUGGAUCCAACCCAAAAAUCUUAAGCUAUUAUGGGAGACUGGAGAGGUCCCUGAUGAGGGAUCAUACUUAAGCAACGUGGGUUUGUAUUAUGUAACACAUAUGGCCUGUUUGUUUGCCUGGAUUUCAGCAUCAGAUUGGACUAUAAAUCCAAGAGGACCACAGAUCCUGGGUUUGGGUGAAACUUUUGCAGUCAAGAUUAAAUAUCCGUUGGUAUGAAAUCCUCAAAACAUGGGGUUAAUAACUUGAGAGAUGUUGUACAUUCACCCAUCACGAUUAGUCUAAUAGAAUUACAUAUACCUUGAGAUUAUAUAUUCUUUCACUGUUUAGUGCAGUCAAAUAAGGGGCACUUUUUGUUUAGUUCAUUUUUUGUGCUGAAAACCUAAACUGCUUAUGAUCUGGUAAUUUGAAGUUGGUGUCACCUGGAUUGAUAUGGCUGAGGCUCAAGUGGCCUUUGCUGAAUUAUUGGGUUGGUUUAAGUUCUGACUGGUGCAGAAAUGAGCAUAUCGAAAUGAAUAUUGGGUGGUCCAUUCCUGGUUCAUCAAACUUGGAUUCCAUUCAAAAUUGUCUCUGGUUGGUUUGCCAAUUGGCUUACCAUCCUCAAGCUUCAGCUGGUUCCUGUAUUUCAUGAAUGAAGGUGGAAAUGAAACCCUACAACUUGUGAAAUGUCCUCACAGUAAUGUGUAGCGGAUAUGGGCUGACCCUGGACUUGGGUUUUGGUGAACAAAAAUA
RNA transcript from Rhododendron vialii, 1935 nucleotides. It is a transcript of the gene named carboxyl-terminal-processing peptidase 1, chloroplastic, with no coding region annotated. Lineage: Eukaryota; Viridiplantae; Streptophyta; Magnoliopsida; Ericales; Ericaceae. The record is from RefSeq and is a predicted model, not a curated record. The transcript is spliced from 10 exons.